GGUGCGUAACACGUGAGGAACUUGUCCGUCGGCGGGGGAUAGCCGGCCCAACGGCCGGGUAAUACCGCAUACGCUCGCUCGGGGGCAUCCCUGGGCGAGGAAAGCAGCCGCAAGGUUGCGCCGGUGGAGAGUCUCGCGGCCUAUCAGCUUGUUGGCGGGGUAAUGGCCCACCAAGGCGACGACGGGUAGCUGGUCUGAGAGGAUGGCCAGCCACAUUGGGACUGAGACACGGCCCAGACUCCUACGGGAGGCAGCAGUGGGGAAUAUUGCGCAAUGGCCGCAAGGCUGACGCAGCGACGCCGCGUGUGGGAUGACGGCCUUCGGGUUGUAAACCACUGUCAGGGGGGACGAAUACUCGGCCGCGAAUAGCGGACCGAGGGUGACGGUACCUCCAAAGGAAGCACCGGCUAACUCCGUGCCAGCAGCCGCGGUAAUACGGAGGGUGCGAGCGUUGUCCGGAAUCACUGGGCGUAAAGGGCGCGUAGGCGGCUCGCUAAGUUGCCGGUGAAAUCCCGGGGCUCAACUCCGGGGCUGCCGGUAAGACUGGCGGGCUAGAGCACGGUAGAGGCAGAUGGAAUUCCCGGUGUAGCGGUGGAAUGCGUAGAGAUCGGGAAGAACACCAGUGGCGAAGGCGUUCUGCUGGGCCGUUGCUGACGCUGAGGCGCGACAGCGUGGGGAGCAAACAGGAUUAGAUACCCUGGUAGUCCACGCCGUAAACGAUGGACACUAGGCGUCGGGGGGAGCGACCCCCUCGGUGCCGUCGCUAACGCAGUAAGUGUCCCGCCU
This 786-nucleotide ribosomal RNA is filed under the name uncultured Gemmatimonas sp. Its description in RNAcentral is "bacterial SSU rRNA". It matches the Rfam family "Bacterial small subunit ribosomal RNA", at positions 105 to 874 of the family's 1533-position model. The record is from RNAcentral. Lineage: Bacteria; Pseudomonadati; Gemmatimonadota; Gemmatimonadia; Gemmatimonadales; Gemmatimonadaceae.